Molecule: ribosomal RNA, 156 nt
Filed under: Nicotiana attenuata
Lineage: Eukaryota; Viridiplantae; Streptophyta; Magnoliopsida; Solanales; Solanaceae
Description: rRNA 5_8S_rRNA
Rfam family: 5.8S ribosomal RNA
About the family: 5.8S ribosomal RNA (5.8S rRNA) is a component of the large subunit of the eukaryotic ribosome. It is transcribed by RNA polymerase I as part of the 45S precursor that also contains 18S and 28S rRNA. Functionally, it is thought that 5.8S rRNA may be involved in ribosome translocation.
Source: RNAcentral
GACUCUCGGCAACGGAUAUCUCGACUUUCGCAUCGAUGAAGAACGUAGGGAAAUGCGAUACUUUGUGUGAAUUGCAGAAUCUCACGAACCACCGAGUCUUCGAACGCAAGUUGCGCCCGAAGCCAUUAGGCCGAGGGCACAUUUGCCUGGGCGUCA